This 72-nucleotide transfer RNA is filed under the name Strigamia maritima. It matches the Rfam family "tRNA". From Rfam's summary of the family: Transfer RNA (tRNA) molecules are approximately 80 nucleotides in length. Their secondary structure includes four short double-helical elements and three loops (D, anti-codon, and T loops). The record is from Rfam by way of RNAcentral. Lineage: Eukaryota; Metazoa; Arthropoda; Chilopoda; Geophilomorpha; Linotaeniidae.
UCCCAGGUAGCUUAAUGCUAAAGCAUCCAACCGGGCAAUUGGGGGAUCUGGGUUCAAGUCCCGGUCUGGGCU